Molecule: ribosomal RNA, 381 nt
Filed under: uncultured bacterium
Lineage: Bacteria
Description: bacterial SSU rRNA
Rfam family: Bacterial small subunit ribosomal RNA
Source: RNAcentral
GAUGAACGCUAGCGGCAGGCCUAAUACAUGCAAGUCGAACGAUACCAGAGAGCUUGCUUUCUGGGAAAGUGGCGCACGGGUGCGUAACGCGUAUGCAACCUACCUUAAUCAGGGGGAUAGCCUCUCGAAAGAGAGAUUAACACCGCAUAAAAAUCACACUUCGGCAUCGAAGAAUGAUCAAAUAUUUAUAGGAUUAAGAUGGGCAUGCGUGACAUUAGCUAGUUGGUAAGUAACGGCUUACCAAGGCUACGAUGUCUAGGGGAUCUGAGAGGAUGACCCCCCACACUGGUAACUGAGACACGGACCAGACUCCUACGGGAGCAGCAGUAAGGAAUAUGGUCAAUGGGGGCAACCCUGAACCAGCCAUGCCGCGUGCAGGAA